CGCGUAGGCGGCCUUCUAAGUCGAACGUGAGAUCCCCGGGCUCAACCCGGGAACUGCGUCCGAUACUGGAAGGCUUGAAUCCGGGAGAGGGAUGCGGAAUUCCAGGUGUAGCGGUGAAAUGCGUAGAUAUCUGGAGGAACACCGGUGGCGAAGGCGGCAUCCUGGACCGGCAUUGACGCUGAGGCGCGAAAGCCAGGGGAGCAAACG
RNAcentral lists this ribosomal RNA (207 nucleotides) under uncultured bacterium. RNAcentral describes it as "partial 16S ribosomal RNA". It matches the Rfam family "Bacterial small subunit ribosomal RNA", at positions 568 to 774 of the family's 1533-position model. The record is from RNAcentral.